UUUCUUCUUAAAAAAAUAGCACCUGGACUCCUGUUCUUACACUGAGUGCAUAGAAAAAGGGAAGAGGAGGCCUACCACACAUACACCUCAGCACAGCCCUGUGCCUGGUAUUGUGAAUGGGGAGGAACAA
This 130-nucleotide small nucleolar RNA is filed under the name Dipodomys ordii (Ord's kangaroo rat). RNAcentral describes it as "Small nucleolar RNA SNORA51 (ENSDORG00000023020.2)". The record is from RNAcentral. Lineage: Eukaryota; Metazoa; Chordata; Mammalia; Rodentia; Heteromyidae.